RNAcentral lists this ribosomal RNA (201 nucleotides) under uncultured bacterium. RNAcentral describes it as "partial 16S ribosomal RNA". It matches the Rfam family "Bacterial small subunit ribosomal RNA", at positions 1301 to 1500 of the family's 1533-position model. The record is from RNAcentral.
CAGGCUGCAACCCGCCUGUAUGAAGUUGGAAUCGCUAGUAAUCGCGGAUCAGCAUGCCGCGGUGAAUACGUUCCCGGGCCUUGUACACACCGCCCGUCACACCAUGAGGGUCGGGAACACCCGAAGUCCGUAGCCUAACCGCGAAGGGGGGCGCGGCCGAAGGUGGGUUCGAUAAUUGGGGUGAAGUCGUAACAAGGUAGC